Molecule: ribosomal RNA, 497 nt
Filed under: uncultured bacterium
Lineage: Bacteria
Description: partial 16S ribosomal RNA
Rfam family: Bacterial small subunit ribosomal RNA
Source: RNAcentral
GAUGAACGCUGGCGGCGUGCCUAAUACAUGCAAGUCGAGCGAACAGACGAGGAGCUUGCUCCCCUGACGUUAGCGGCGGACGGGUGAGUAACACGUGGAUAACCUACCUAUAAGACUGGGAUAACUUCGGGAAACCGGAGCUAAUACCGGAUAAUAUAUUGAACCGCAUGGUUCAAUAGUGAAAGACGGUUUUGCUGUCACUUAUAGAUGGAUCCGCGCCGCAUUAGCUAGUUGGUAGGGUAACGGCUUACCAAGGCGACGAUGCGUAGCCGACCUGAGAGGGUGAUCGGCCACACUGGAACUGAGACACGGUCCAGACUCCUACGGGAGGCAGCAGUAGGGAAUCUUCCGCAAUGGGCGAAAGCUUGACGGAGCAACGCCGCGUGAGUGAUGAAGGUCUUCGGAUCGUAAAACUCUGUUAUUAGGGAAGAACAAAUGUGUAAGUAACUAUGCACGUCUUGACGGUAGCUAAUCAGAAAGCCACGGCUAACUACGUG